CUGGGGUUGCUGGCCUCUUCACUGCAUGCUAUUUUGACCAGAUCCUGCUUUUAUCAAGGUGUUGGUGACCAGAAAAAGACUCCUAUGGGCCUCCUACCUCGUCCUCAUGCAAAUGCCAGCACCACACUCUUGGACUUCUCAGCCUCCAGAACUGAUGACCCUUGACAGAUGCUGGCACCAUGCUCUUGGAUCUCUCAGCUUCCAUAACUGUGAGCCUAAUAAGUGUUUGUACUUUGUAAAUUACCUAGUCUGUGGCAUUCUGUUAUAGCAGCAAAAAAAACAGGCUAAAACAACACUUUAAGAAUUUUUUUUCUAAUAAUAAUU
This 324-nucleotide long non-coding RNA is filed under the name Homo sapiens (human). Its description in RNAcentral is "HSALNT0343032". Lineage: Eukaryota; Metazoa; Chordata; Mammalia; Primates; Hominidae. The record is from RNAcentral.